GUGAAUGAUGAAACAUGCACUGUUCUCUGAGAAGUUUUAACCGCAACUUUUGAUGGAAAUACACAGCCUUGAAAUCUUUUUCUGAUAC
Molecule: non-coding RNA, 88 nt
Organism: Phaseolus vulgaris (common bean)
Lineage: Eukaryota; Viridiplantae; Streptophyta; Magnoliopsida; Fabales; Fabaceae
Source: Rfam